Molecule: ribosomal RNA, 938 nt
Filed under: uncultured bacterium
Lineage: Bacteria
Description: bacterial SSU rRNA
Rfam family: Bacterial small subunit ribosomal RNA
Source: RNAcentral
GACGCUGUGAUCCUUCGGGGUGACUUGGUGCCGACGAGUGGCGGACGGGUGAGUAAUGCUUAGGAAUCUGCCCAGUAGUGGGGGACAACACGGGGAAACUCGUGCUAAUACCGCAUACGCCUUACGAGGGAAAGUGGGGGAUCUUCGGACCUCACGCUAUUGGAUGAGCCUAAGUCGGAUUAGCUUGUUGGUGAGGUAAUGGCUCACCAAAGCGACAAUCCGUAGCUGGUCUGAGAGGACGAUCAGCCACACUGGGACUGAGACACGGCCCAGACUCCUACGGGAGGCAGCAGUGGGGAAUAUUGGACAAUGGGGGCAACCCUGAUCCAGCAAUACCGCGUGUGUGAAGAAGGCCUGCGGGUUGUAAAGCACUUUCAGUAGAGAAGAAACUGUUUGAGGUUAAUACCCUCAGACCUUGACGUAACCUACAGAAGAAGCACCGGCUAACUCCGUGCCAGCAGCCGCGGUAAUACGGAGGGUGCAAGCGUUAAUCGGAAUUACUGGGCGUAAAGCGCGCGUAGGCGGUCUGGUCAGUCGGAUGUGAAAGCCCCGGGCUUAACCUGGGAAUUGCAUUCGAUACUGCCAAACUAGAAUGUUGGAGAGGGAAGUGGAAUUUCCGGUGUAGCGGUGAAAUCCGUAGAGAUCGGAAGGAACACCAGUGGCGAAGGCGGCUUCCUGGCCAAACAUUGACGCUGAGGUGCGAAAGCGUGGGUAGCGAACAGGAUUAGAUACCCUGGUAGUCCACGCCGUAAACGAUGAGAACUAGAUGUCGGGAGGGUUUAGCCUCUCGGUGUCGCAGCUAACGCGUUAAGUUCUCCGCCUGGGGAGUACGGUGGCAACACUAAACUCAAAGGAAUUGGCGGGGACCCGCACAAGCGGUGGAGCAUGUGGUUUAAUUCGAUGCAACGCGAAGAACCUUACCUGCCCUUGACAUUGAC